RNAcentral lists this long non-coding RNA (3452 nucleotides) under Chloebia gouldiae (Gouldian finch). RNAcentral's name for it is "Erythrura gouldiae (Gouldian finch) lncRNA (ENSEGOG00005002920.1)". The record is from RNAcentral. Lineage: Eukaryota; Metazoa; Chordata; Aves; Passeriformes; Passeridae.
CUGCCCUUGGCAAAGCCUCUCUGCUUUGUGCAACUGAUUUCCUCAUAGACCAAAAGAGAUCACAGGCUGCAAACAAACCAUUUGCUGCAUAAUGUGGAUUUGCUGCUGGUAAAUCACAGCACCAGAGAAGUCACUGGGAAGAGAUGGUACUUUUACCAGUGAGAUUCUCCCAGGCAUGGAAGAACUCUGGUGGGCCGAACAUGGGUUGAAAAUGGAUUAUAUCCAUGAGCAGGAGUUUUAUUUGUGUGGAUGUUGAAGAAGAGCAGUGUGACUGACCCAGCAUGAAGUUGUACCCCAAGUUCAGGGGGAAAACCUAAAACAAGGUGUGAAUCUAAGCUGAUGCCCAGAACAUCAAGGAUCUGUGCUAAAGGCUGGUCAAGGAAUCUGAGCUACAUAUCUCAUCUGGGUGACAGAAACAACCUCAGACACUCUCAUUCUGCCCUUGCUGAGGACAGUGGAGCUACUGAGUACUCAGCAUCAGAGUUAAAAGGACCAACCACGGCUGUAUUUCUUGGGAGAAGUACACCCCUGGGUUUUCCACAACUUUGGAGGAAGCCAGACUGGUGCUGUCAUGCUCACCCACGUUUCUUAUUUCUAAAGAAGAAUCUCUGCCUGUGCUGCAUGUGACAGUCCCACUCACUGCAUGUGACAGGUCCCCAGGGCCCGGGGCAGCACUGACAAUGACAGGCAGCACCCAGGCUGCACUGCUAACAUUCCAGCCCUGGGUGAGUGUGAGAGGUGUUGAUGCUUUCCUUAAAGCCUCAGCUAAGGGAGAUGAGUGGUUUAUAUAAGAAUUGCAUCUCCAUUUAUGUAUUUUAAGUGUGCAGCUAGCCCUAGAGGCUGGAACAGUGGCUGUGCAGAACAGCUUGAGAACAUGAACUGAAAGUGCUCUUGAGGCUGAUAAAAUAGAAGGAAAAAUGAAAAAAGAAAUCUUCCUUCAAACUUCAUCAUAUUUAUGCUGCUUUCACACAUUAAGAAUACAUCUUUAACAAGUGUUCAAGGCAAGGCAUAACUGGAAUAUUUUCAUAUAAAGCACAGUGUACUAGGCUACAAUUUCUUUCCCAGUCUCAGGUGACAUCAUUAUGAAAAGAUUGCAGUGUAGAACAGGGGACCCUUCACUCUCCUGAGCCACAGCACUGAAGCUAUGGUUGGUUACAGCUCUUUACACAAAGGUUUGCCCAGUGUAACCACAAGUACCUGUGAAAUUCACUUCACCCCUGAGCUUUUGAAGUAAAGGGCUCCCCAACUCUAUAGACACCGUGUGUGGGAACACCACCACCUCCUCUUGGUCCCAAAAUUCACACUACAGACAAGGACACCAAACAGCAUCAAAAUAUCUCACAUGAGACCUCACUGACUUCUCUCAAGCCUCUGCUCAAGGGAAGCUCCUCCUUCCUUGUGUGGAGAGAUUAUUCAAGGGGCAACUUCCCACACACACUCUCCCAGUGCCUGGAAGACCACCAGUGCUGUGAAAAGCCACUCCAGUCGACUCUAAAGGUAUGGCAGUUAAUCUUUCCCUCACUAAGGAGUUCUGCACAUGACCUAUAUAAAUGCUCUACAUCACUCUGGAAAGACCAGGACAGCUUCAUGCCACCACCUCUUCCUUCUGCACAUGCUUGGGCAUAGCCAAGCAAGCCUGAUAUGCUCUGUGCUACCUUCCUACCAGGUAUGUGCUUACCAGCUUCUCUACCUUUGCAGCCUGCUCUGAGCUCUCCCCUGCAGUGCCAAGUGCAUCCUAAAUACAGGCUGGCUGUGUCCAGAUAAACUCCAGCCCCAACAGCGAAGGGACUCCUGCAGCUGAGUCAGAAGAAACCAGGGCAGCACAUCCCUCCUCCAGAGAUGGACUCAUCAGUAAGAUCAAUGACCAGUCAAUAACAGGAUUCAUAGAAGUCUAAAGUACCAAAAAUCUGCCAUUCAUUUUGUCCCAGUAAUUAAGAGUCUUUGUCCUGAAGCCUCCUAAAAGGAUUUCAAUGAAAUCUUCAUUUUCACAAUGAUCUUUUCCUUAUCUUUCUCCCUCCAUGGAGACACAAACUGUGCAACUAAAAUUAAACCAGCCAGAUGUAUCCUAGAGCCAUGUUCAUGGGAGCACCUAUUUCAUUCUGUCACUUGCCUUGUUCUGGGGUGAGGCUCUACACAGGAAUGCAAAAACAACAACAAAAAAGAGGCUCUGACAUUUUACAGUACAUUUUCUCAAUGUCACUCUGCACACCUGAAAAGUAGACAGAUUUCCUCAUGUUUCUCUACCAGCUCUCUUCUUCAUUGGUAGAUAACUCAAAACUCAGCUGGAUUCAAGGGCAAGAGGGGCAGCUCAUGCACUGAACCCAUAGACCCCUUCCCAGGCCACAGCCUUCAUUCACCUGUGCUGUUGCAUGUGGGGGUUCAUCCUAUAGCAGAUGUCACAGCCAUGCAAAAUGCCUUCUCUCCUAUUUAGAUAGAUAUGGUCUGAGCACUCUUAAUUCCAGACGUGGAGAAUCUAAAAUCUUUCCACAAUUUGAGAACUUAGAACUGGGAAGAGCAACCAUUAGUGGGCUGCAUGUUAAAGGAGACCAGAGUCCUCGGAAUCAGGAUCUCCUUGCAACAUGCACAGCUAAGAAGAAAAGAGUUUAAAAGUGAAUGCUAACCAAUGAACUGCAUGUUGCAAACGCUCCCCCAUCCUGCUCCUUCCUACCCACCAAAGCCAUAUUCCAAAUUUGAAGCAAACUCUUGCUUGUCAACACUCUUCUUGGGAGAGCUCCCUCACGGUGCUGGAAACAGCCUUCCCUGGCUUCCCUGCCCAAGCUCAGCCUCCAGGUUUCUACAUUCGCCAUAUGACACACUGAGUUAGCCCAGGGUUUAAUAUAUUCCCUCAUGCUGCUGUCCUUUAAAAGCCUUGGCAUUUCCUACACACAGAUUCCAUAUUGACUUUACAAGUACCAAGACACCACGGUGAAAUUUAAACUAAAUAUAGAGGUGAUAUUUUUAAAUAACUCUCAGCUCCAACUCGCCAAGCCGAUUUUAUUUGAACGAAAAAGGCAGACUCCAGCUUUAAGCUUCCAUUGUAAUUAAUGAUUACAACACAUUCCUCUGCCGUAUCAGAUUUAGCACCUCAUUAAGGUACGUGGUAUUUUUCUUGCAUGGCACAGCUGUAGCUAAAGUUGACUUAGUGUUUCCAUUAUAAGCCCAUGUUUUCAAAGGUUUAUCACUCAGACACAUGAGAUUUAGUCUGAAAUGAAAAUUGCCAUCGAGAGUGUCAGCUGGGAAGCAAUUUCUUGUCCUUCAAAACCUGAAAGCAACAAACGCCAAGAAAAAAAAAAAGCAAGCCACUCUGUUUAUUAAUAAUUCACAUUUUAAAAAGCAUUGCAAAUACAUGUUUACAUGAUAGCCUGUGACAGCUCCAUAGAAUGUCAACACCCACACGUUCCUGGGAGAUGUGUCAUCUUAAAAUCCGAAAUAAAAGCCUCAUUUUUACACCA